GGGGCUGAUUCUGGAUUCGACGGGAUUUGCGAAACCCAAGGUGCAUGCCGAGGGGCGGUUGGCCUCGUAAAAAGCCGCAAAAAAUAGUCGCAAACGACGAAAACUACGCUUUAGCAGCUUAAUAACCUGCUUAGAGCCCUCUCUCCUUAGCCUCCGCUCUUAGGACGGGGAUCAAGAGAGGUCAAACCCAAAAGAGAUCGCGUGGAAGCCCUGCCUGGGGUUGAAGCGUUAAAACUUAAUCAGGCUAGUUUGUUAGUGGCGUGUCCGUCCGCAGCUGGCAAGCGAAUGUAAAGACUGACUAAGCAUGUAGUACCGAGGAUGUAGGAAUUUCGGACGCGGGUUCAACUCCCGCCAGCUCCACCA
This 363-nucleotide transfer-messenger RNA is filed under the name Escherichia coli. RNAcentral describes it as "Standard tmRNA". It matches the Rfam family "transfer-messenger RNA". Rfam says of the family: Bacterial tmRNA, also known as 10Sa RNA or SsrA, is named for its dual tRNA and mRNA-like properties. RNAcentral also lists the same sequence under 1 other name. The record is from RNAcentral. Lineage: Bacteria; Pseudomonadati; Pseudomonadota; Gammaproteobacteria; Enterobacterales; Enterobacteriaceae.